RNAcentral lists this ribosomal RNA (320 nucleotides) under Bacillus sp. (in: firmicutes). RNAcentral's name for it is "bacterial SSU rRNA". It matches the Rfam family "Bacterial small subunit ribosomal RNA", at positions 1210 to 1533 of the family's 1533-position model. The record is from RNAcentral. Lineage: Bacteria; Bacillati; Bacillota; Bacilli; Caryophanales; Bacillaceae.
UGGGCUACACACGUGCUACAAUGGACGGUACAAAGAGCUGCAAGACCGCGAGGUGGAGCUAAUCUCAUAAAACCGUUCUCAGUUCGGAUUGUAGGCUGCAACUCGCCUACAUGAAGCUGGAAUCGCUAGUAAUCGCGGAUCAGCAUGCCGCGGUGAAUACGUUCCCGGGCCUUGUACACACCGCCCGUCACACCACGAGAGUUUGUAACACCCGAAGUCGGUGGGGUAACCUUUUUGGAGCCAGCCGCCUAAGGUGGGACAGAUGAUUGGGGUGAAGUCGUAACAAGGUAGCCGUAUCGGAAGGUGCGGUUGGUUUCACC